GUAAUACUUAGGAAUCUACCUAGUAGUGGGGGAUAGCUCGGGGAAACUCGAAUUAAUACCGCAUACGACCUACGGGAGAAAGGGGGCACUUGUUGCUCUCGCUAUUAGAUGAGCCUAAGUCGGAUUAGCUAGAUGGUGGGGUAAAGGCCUACCAUGGCGACGAUCUGUAGCUGGUCUGAGAGGAUGAUCAGCCACACCGGGACUGAGACACGGCCCGGACUCCCACGGGAGGCAGCAGUGGGGAAUAUUGGACAAUGGGGGAAACCCUGAUCCAGCCAUGCCGCGUGUGUGAAGAAGGCCUCUUGGUUGUAAAGCACUUUAAGCAGUGAAGAAGACUCUUCGGUUAAUACCCGGAGACGAUGACAUUAGCUGCAGAAUAAGCACCGGCUAACUCUGUGCCAGCAGCCGCGGUAAUACAGAGGGUGCAAGCGUUAAUCGGAAUUACUGGGCGUAAAGCGAGCGUAGGUGGCUUGAUAAGUCAGAUGUGAAAUCCCCGGGCUUAACCUGGGAACUGCAUCUGAUACUGUCAGGCUAGAGUAGGUGAGAGGAAGGUAGAAUUCCAGGUGUAGCGGUGAAAUGCGUAGAGAUCUGGAGGAAUACCGAUGGCGAAGGCAGCCUUCUGGCAUCAUACUGACACUGAGGCU
Molecule: ribosomal RNA, 644 nt
Filed under: uncultured bacterium
Lineage: Bacteria
Description: bacterial SSU rRNA
Rfam family: Bacterial small subunit ribosomal RNA
Source: RNAcentral